GCGGGUGUGGCGGAAUUGGCAGACGCGCUAGGCUUAGGGCCUAGUGGGGGAAACCCCGUGGAGGUUCAAGUCCUCUCGGCCGCACCU
RNAcentral lists this transfer RNA (87 nucleotides) under Bacillus sp. BB51/4. Its description in RNAcentral is "tRNA-Leu". It matches the Rfam family "tRNA". Rfam says of the family: Transfer RNA (tRNA) molecules are approximately 80 nucleotides in length. The record is from RNAcentral. Lineage: Bacteria; Bacillati; Bacillota; Bacilli; Caryophanales; Bacillaceae.